UAUUUUUUCACUUUAGUACCCUGUGAUUUAAAGUGUAUUAAGUUAGUAUCCUAUGGUUUCGCAUUUUCUUAUUUUAGUACUAUGUGAUUUAAUAUUUUAUUAAGAAAAAAAUAAAAUCAUAAGGUACUAACUUGAUACAAAAAUAAAAUCACAGAGUACUAACUUGAUACACUUUAAAUCACAGGGUAUUAAAAUGAGAAAGUGCGAAACCACAAAAUACUAACUUGAUACACUUUAAACCACAGGAUACUAAAAUAAAAAAGUGUAAAACUACAGGGAGAGUUUUUGAAGUUUUUCCUUGAAAAAAUUACAAAGAUUCUGUAGAUUGGUUCCAACUUGUUAAAAU
This 346-nucleotide long non-coding RNA is filed under the name Ananas comosus (pineapple). Its description in RNAcentral is "long non-coding RNA (ACOM_LNC025492)". Lineage: Eukaryota; Viridiplantae; Streptophyta; Magnoliopsida; Poales; Bromeliaceae. The record is from RNAcentral.